This 499-nucleotide ribosomal RNA is filed under the name uncultured Glomeromycotina. RNAcentral's name for it is "partial small subunit ribosomal RNA". It matches the Rfam family "Eukaryotic small subunit ribosomal RNA", at positions 591 to 1092 of the family's 1831-position model. Lineage: Eukaryota; Fungi; Glomeromycota. The record is from RNAcentral.
CCAAUAGCGUAUAUUAAAGUUGCUGCAGUUAAAAAGCUCGUAGUUGAAUUUCGGGAUCAUCAUGUCGGUCGUGCCUCGGUACGUACUGGCAUCGUUGGUUUCUCCCUUCUGACGAACCAUGAUGUCAUUUAUUUGGUGUUGUGGGGAAUCAGGACUGUUACUUUGAAAAAAUUAGAGUGUUUAAAGCAGGCUCACGCUUGAAUACAUUAGCAUGGAAUAAUGAAAUAGGACGUUUGAUUCUAUUUUGUUGGUUUCUAGGAUCGACGUAAUGAUUAAUAGGGAUAGUUGGGGGCAUUAGUAUUCAAUUGUCAGAGGUGAAAUUCUUGGAUUUAUUGAAGACUAACUACUGCGAAAGCAUUUGCCAAGGAUGUUUUCAUUAAUCAAGAACGAAAGUUAGGGGAUCGAAGACGAUCAGAUACCGUCGUAGUCUUAACCAUAGACUAUGCCGACUAGGGAUCGGAUGAUGUUAAUUUUUUAAUGACUCAUUCGGCGCCUUACG